AGUGAACGCUGGCGGUAGGCCUAACACAUGCAAGUCGAACGGCAGCACAGUAAGAGCUUGCUCUUACGGGUGGCGAGUGGCGGACGGGUGAGGAAUACAUCGGAAUCUACUUUUUCGUGGGGGAUAAUGUAGGGAAACUUACGCUAAUACCGCAUACGACCUACGGGUGAAAGCAGUGGAUCUUCGGACCUUGCGCGAUUGAAUGAGCCGAUGUCGGAUUAGCUAGUUGGCGGGGUAAAGGCCCACCAAGGCGACGAUCCGUAGCUGGUCUGAGAGGAUGAUCAGCCACACUGGAACUGAGACACGGUCCAGACUCCUACGGGAGGCAGCAGUGGGGAAUAUUGGACAAUGGGCGAAAGCCUGAUCCAGCCAUACCGCGUGAGUGAAGAAGGCCUUCGGGUUGUAAAGCCCUUUUGUUGGGAAAGAAAAGCAGCAGGUUAAUACCCCGCUGUUCUGACGGUACCCAAAGAAUAAGCACCGGCUAACUUCGUG
Molecule: ribosomal RNA, 492 nt
Filed under: uncultured bacterium
Lineage: Bacteria
Description: partial 16S ribosomal RNA
Rfam family: Bacterial small subunit ribosomal RNA
Source: RNAcentral